GUAGGUGAACCUGCGGAAGGAUCAUUAUCACGUAUCCACGUAUAAACCAUUGUGAACCGUUCUAUUAACCUUUGUUCUCGGAUAAGAUAGUGCGAAUUAAGCGUUCAAACAGCAAUAGUAAUUGAGCUGUUGUUUAAUUCGUCGCAGUCGGUGUUUCUCUCCGGAGUUCCCGAUCGCACUUGCUGAGAAUCAAAGUGUAUUCAAUUACUACUUAUUAACCAUUUUAACCAAUCUUUAUAACUUUAUGAAC
Molecule: unclassified non-coding RNA, 250 nt
Filed under: plant metagenome
Description: partial contains small subunit ribosomal RNA, internal transcribed spacer 1, and 5.8S ribosomal RNA
Source: RNAcentral